This 466-nucleotide ribosomal RNA is filed under the name uncultured bacterium. RNAcentral describes it as "bacterial SSU rRNA". It matches the Rfam family "Bacterial small subunit ribosomal RNA", at positions 338 to 795 of the family's 1533-position model. The record is from RNAcentral.
CCUANGGGUGGCAGCAGUGAGGAAUUUUGCGCAAUGGGGGAAACCCUGACGCAGCAACGCCGCGUGAGUGAAGAAGGCUUUCGGGUCGUAAAGCUCUGUCAAGAGGGAAGAAAGUGGGGGAUGGUAAUACUGUUUUCUAUUGACGGUACCUCUGAAGGAAGCACCGGCUAACUCCGUGCCAGCAGCCGCGGUAAUACGGGGGGUGCAAGCGUUAUUCGGAUUUAUUGGGCGUAAAGAGCGCGUAGGCGGUUUAUCAAGUCAGAUGUGAAAGCCCUGGGCUCAACCUGGGAAGUGCAUUUGAAACUAGUAGACUUGAGUAUGGGAGAGGGGAGUGGAAUUCCUGGUGUAGAGGUGAAAUUCGUAGAUAUCAGGAGGAACACCCGUGGCGAAGGCGGCUUCCUGGCCAUAAUCUGACGCUGAGGUGCGAAAGCUAGGGGAGCGAACGGGAUUAGAUACCCUANUANUC